AUACUUACCUGGCAGGGAACAUAACAUGAUUAUGAAGGUUUUCUCAGAGUGAGGUGCAUCCAUGGCAUUCUGGGUGUGCUGAUCCGUGAAAGUUCCUCAAAUGUGGGAAACUCGGCCUCAUAAUUUGUAAUAAUGGCAGACUGUGUGCAUGCUCUCCCC
Small nuclear RNA from Nannospalax galili (Upper Galilee mountains blind mole rat), 159 nucleotides. Its record names the gene U1. It matches the Rfam family "U1 spliceosomal RNA". From Rfam's summary of the family: U1 is a small nuclear RNA (snRNA) component of the spliceosome (involved in pre-mRNA splicing). Lineage: Eukaryota; Metazoa; Chordata; Mammalia; Rodentia; Spalacidae. The record is from Ensembl.